GCACCUAUGGUCUAAUGGUAAGGGCUCUCGUUGUGGCUUGACCACCCGAGGAUACCAAGUUCAAAUCUUGGUAGGUGCG
RNAcentral lists this transfer RNA (79 nucleotides) under Schizophyllum commune Loenen D. RNAcentral's name for it is "tRNA-OTHER". It matches the Rfam family "tRNA". Rfam says of the family: Transfer RNA (tRNA) molecules are approximately 80 nucleotides in length. Their secondary structure includes four short double-helical elements and three loops (D, anti-codon, and T loops). Lineage: Eukaryota; Fungi; Basidiomycota; Agaricomycetes; Agaricales; Schizophyllaceae. The record is from RNAcentral.